This is a long non-coding RNA of Herpailurus yagouaroundi (jaguarundi), 3746 nucleotides long. RefSeq lists it as uncharacterized. The transcript has 9 exons. NCBI's taxonomy places the organism in Eukaryota, Metazoa, Chordata, Mammalia, Carnivora, Felidae. The record is from RefSeq and is a predicted model, not a curated record.
UCUCUCUCUCUCUCUCUCAAAAAUAAAUAAACAUUAAAAAAACACAGUUCUUCCCUUUUACAAAUAUUUAUACAUCACUAAAUCAGAAAAUGCUACACCCUCAGGCAUGCUCCCAGCAAACAAGGCUUUGGCAGAUUGUUGACACCAGUUUGCAAAGAAAUGUCUACACUGUGAGUAAAUCACUAACGUUUCCAUCUUCUUGAUGCUUCCACAAUUCAAGAAAUGUUAAAAUGUUUACUAUCUUUUCUGUCUUUAAUUUCUGUCGACGAGAAAAAGAUGAAACAUGAAGGACUAGAGUUCCACGGCUGACCAAGGUUGGCAAGGUCACGGAGGAAACCUAGAACGCACGCGCGCCCCUGAGAUCUGGGGCCACAGGUGCGCCAAGGUCCCGACGAUCCGGCCUCCGCCAGCCGCUUCAGCUCAGCGAACACGUUUGGAGCCAGACAAGGGAGGCUCACUUGCCUGGGUUACUUCUUGCUGGUGCCUCUGGAAAUCGUAAGUGAAAUUUAAACUGUCCCCUGAAACUGAUAUGAGGUCUAGACUGUGGGAACCUGAGCCGGCCGGACAUGUGGCCUGGGGAGAGAAAGACAGACGAAAGUGUCAUAUGCUGAGAGAGCUUAAGAGACUAACAGCCAGAUGCGCCAUGGAGACCUUGAGUGGAGCCUAUUGGAACAAAAACAACUGUAGCAGCCCACUGACAGACACCUGAAACACGCAGAGCGAGAACUUCUUCGGGCAACUCCUGGCUGCCCUACUCCCUUGGUGUUUGUGUUUUAUUAAAGACUGAACAUAACUUUAUCUCAAGGUCCUGAAAGCCUUGCUUCCACAUUCCUUAGAAACUUACUUUAUCUCUAUGGCCCUCCCUCCACAAACCUAAAGGUGUAUAAUCAGUCACCCCUCACAACCCCGGGGCAGCUCUUUCUGCCCCCGGGUCCCGUCCCCGUGCUUUAGUAAAACCGCCUUUUCGCACCGAAGACAUCUCAAGAAUUCUUUCUUAGCCGUUUGCUCAAGAACCCCAUCCGUGGGGAACAGAGAGAACAAAACUGGCUCAAUGUGAUAUGGGAGGCUGGUGACAGAGCCUCGGGGACUGUUGUGUGCCUACCGCUACCGUUGUGUGUGUUUGGAAAUCUCUGCGACGGAAAGCUUGAAGAGAGAACACACAAUUGAAUUUGGCCCUCUCAGUCAAAAAGGAUGAAAGGAAGAAAGAAAAGGAGGGAAGAAAGUGAAAGAGGAGAGAGUGCCUGAGUGCGCACAGGGUGACCCAGAGGGCUAGCCUCUCCCGGCGUGCAGAGUCCGCGGGAAUGACACCGCCAGGCAGGAGGGGCCGCGGCCAGGCCAGUAGCAUGACCGAAUCUUGCCCCUUCUGCCGCCUUUGUGCAGUCCCCACAUCAGUCAUCCGGGACUGGUUCCUCGCCUCCGGCUGUGUUACGGAGGUGUGUUUCUCAUUGCGAAAUCCAGCUGGAGACCUGUACACUUUAUGAGCCCCGCACUGGUGGGCGAUGCUCUUUGCCAAGACUUACAGUCAAUUCCAGGGCUCUCGGGGGAAAUCUGAACCCCUUGCAAGAGGAGGAAUGUUUGUCCAGUUUCCUUCGGUUGAUCCCGUUCGGAUUCACUAGCCAUCAGCCUAAAAUCAGGGCUGGGAUGUGGAUUCUCACGGGUUCUGGGGAGGGUCACGAACCUGAAAUCGCUUCCAUUCCAGAAGCACCCAUCCACAGCAUGACCGAAAAAGCUGAUAGGGACGUGAGUUUGCCUUUCGUCCUCUCUCUUCCUCUCCUUUCCUGCAGGUGCAGGAUGUCUGGAGAAGUGGGAGAUGGGAGCUGGGAAUGUACAGAUAUGGGUGCGAGACAGCCACGAUGUUGUCUACACAGGGUGCCAUCACCCUAGAGACCCCUGGGACCCACGGGACUUUAGGAGAGCCUUUUCUUCCCCUCCACGGCCCCAGUGCCUCUCCCGUUCUCAAUUUCACUGGGAAACAUAUCCCCGAAAGCACAGACUAACCUGAGAAGAUUCUCUGCUGGUUUACUUUUAUUAUUAACCCUUUUAUGAGAACUUUUAAGAUCUACUCUUUGGGCAACUUUCAAAUGUACAGCACAGUUAUUAUUAACUACCAUCAAUCACCAUGCUGUCUGCCACACCCAAGACCUACUCAUUUCAUAACUGGAAGUGUGUGCCUUUCAACCCCUUCACUGAUUCCACCCGCCCCCACUCCUCCGUGUCUACGGGUCUGCUUUUUGUUUUGUGUGGCCGCACACCAAAGAAGUUCUCAGAUACAGGAUGGAGCGGACGUGCGGGCAUGCUUCCACCAGUGAAACAGCUGCAGCAGCAAACCGCACAGAGUCUUUAUUUCAUACUUUCUUAGAUAUGAGUAUCAAAGGAUAUCAAAGCAUGGGUAGGGAACACAAAGGAUCUUUAGACAUUAACCAGACAUGCACCUGCUGGCUACGUGAAGGGAGUACAUGUAGUUUCAAGGAGUGUCAGGGGGUCACAGCGGAUUUUGUAUCUAAUUGUCCUCUGCGGUGUCACGGGGCUCUGUUCUCAGAGUGCUAUCGCGCUCGACAACCUUGGGACCAGAACAUCGCUGACGUUUCAGCUCUCACCCCGUUCACCCUCCAGGACUUACAAUACCCUCUCUAGCAAUGACUCCACAGUUUUAUCGUUGCUGGUGUUUUAGAUCCCACAGCUGGCGAAUAUGAUCAAGGGGAGAGGGGCACACGCAUCUGGACUCCAUCCACAAAAGUCUGACCAAGACAUUUGAGGCUGAUAAUGGUCCUCGCCUGGCGUGGGCGUCGAGAUGACGACUGGGGACUGGCUCUCGGCCACGGCUCCUGGAAUAGACCCGGCCUGUACCCUCACCGACACACCUUCUGCAAUCACAUGAACCCUCCUCCUGGACCCUCCAUGGAACCCCCUCCUCCCAGACCCUCACCAGACCCUCCUCCUGGACCCUCCAUGGAAGCCCCUCCUCCCGGACCCUCACCAGACCCUCCUCCUGGACCCUCCACGGACCCUGGUACCACAUGAAAAAAUAGUUCUGAUGACGUGAUUCUCCUGCUGGUGAAUAAUCUCUCCUGACAGAAAUGGCACACUGGGUGACUUGGGGAGCUGCCACUCUACUGGCCACAAGUGGCAAAGAGAGGAGAGCAUGAGUGGGAGAGGAGCAGAAGGCGAAAGAGAAUCUUCAGGAGGCUUCAUGUCCAGCAAGGAGCCCACCCAACACAGGGCUCGCUCUCACGACCUGGGAUCAUGACCUGAGCCACAAUCAAGACUUGAACACUCAGCCGACUGAGCCUCCCAGUGCAGUGACUCAUGGGAUGAGGCACAGCCUUGCUGUGGGUCUUAUCAAGGAGGACCCUGAUUCUCACAAACUACCAGUCCAAAGAAGCAACAGGAAACAAGAACAGAGCUGUGGGCGCCAUGCUGUGGUAACAGAAGAAGGCAGUUUCUCUGGAGCCACGCUGCCCUCUGUGAGGCCGAGGCAACCAGCGGAACCACAAGCAAAGAUUCGCCAAUAGGAACUUGUGUGCGGGGCUGCUGUUGGUGAGAUGACGUAAGUUAUAAUGAUGUUGCUAAGCUUUUUUACAAUGUGUGCAAAAUUGGGAAAAAUGAUGGGCACACGUUGGAAAUGUUGUGGAUCUGGUUCCAGUCCAUUGGGAUAAAGUGAAUAUUGAAAUAAAGAGAGUCAAGUGAACUUUUUGCUUUCCUGGUGCACAUAAAGUUAUGUUUACACCGUACUGUAGUCUGUGAAA